RNAcentral lists this ribosomal RNA (119 nucleotides) under Oncorhynchus kisutch (coho salmon). Lineage: Eukaryota; Metazoa; Chordata; Actinopteri; Salmoniformes; Salmonidae. The record is from RNAcentral.
GCUUAUGACCACACCGGCCUGAGUACACCUGAUCUCGUCUGAUCUCGGAAGCUAAUCAGUGUCGGGCCUGGUUAGUACUUGGAUGGGAGACCGCCUAGGAAUACCAGGUGCUGUAAGCA